This 1634-nucleotide ribosomal RNA is filed under the name human gut metagenome. Its description in RNAcentral is "bacterial LSU rRNA". It matches the Rfam family "Bacterial large subunit ribosomal RNA", at positions 1198 to 2666 of the family's 2925-position model. The record is from RNAcentral.
AGCUGUGGCAACAACGCGAUUGUGCUGGCGCCAGGAACUGGAGUGCUGGUGUGUUGUUGGGUAGGGGAGCGUCCUGCACGAGGUGAAGCCUGGAGGUGACUUCUGGUGGAUUGUGUGGGAGUGAGAAUGCAGGCAUGAGUAACGAAUCUGCGGUGAGAAUCCGCAGCGCCGAUUGACUAAGGGUUCCAGGGCUAGGUUUAUCCGCCCUGGGUUAGUCGGGUCCUAAGGCGAGGCCGACAGGCGUAGUCGAUGGACAACCAGUUGAUAUUCUGGUACCGCGUUGUGACCGCCCAUGCUGACGUCAUUGUGCUAACCAAUUUGCCUGCCGCCUGCUGGGCCUUCGGGUUUGGUGGUGUGUGUGGGUCUUGGGGUCCCGGUGAUUGUAGGCAAGCGUGUUAACAGGGGUGACGCAGACAGGUAGCUGCAGUGCGCCGAUGGUUGUGCGUAUUUAAGGUUGUGGCCCGUCCCUCAGGUAAAUCCGGGGGGCAUGAUGGGUGAGAACUGAUGAGGGUGACACGGUUGUGUUGUCUUGUGGUGAUCCUAUGCUGCCAAGAAAAGCCUCGACGUGAGGGCAUGACGCGCCCGUACCCUAAACCGACUCAGGUGGUCAGGUAGAGUAUACCGAGGCGUUCGAGUGAAUCAUGGUUAAGGAACUCGGCAAAAUUCCUCCGUAACUUCGGGAUAAGGAGGACCCCUUGGCUUUCCCGCGCCAUGCGCGCUGGUGGGGUUGGGGGGUCGCAGAGAAUAGGGAGAAGCGACUGUUUAUCAAAAACACAGGUGCGUGCGAAGCCGUAAGGCGAUGUAUACGCACUGACGCCUGCCCGGUGCUGGAAGGUUAAGAGGAACCGUCAACACUCUCUUGGGGUGUGAAGCGGUGAAUUUAAGCCCCAGUAAACGGCGGUGGUAACUAUAACCAUCCUAAGGUAGCGAAAUUCCUUGUCGGGUAAGUUCCGACCUGCACGAAUGGCGUAACGACUUCUCCGCUGUCUCAACCGUGAACUCGGUGAAAUUGCAGUACGAGUAAAGAUGCUCGUUUCGCGCAGAAGGACGGAAAGACCCCGGGACCUUUACUAUAGCUUGGUAUUGGUGUUCGCUUGGACUUGUGUAGGAUAGGUGGGAGACUGUGAAGCUGCCGCGCCAGCGGUGGUGGAGUCGUCGUUGAAAUACCAUUCUGGUUCAAGCGGUCACCUUAACCUUGGCCCGUGAUCCGGGUUGGGGACAGUGCCUGGUGGGUAGUUUAACUGGGGCGGUUGCCUCCUAAAAUGUAACGGAGGCGCUCAAAGGUUCCCUCAGCCUGGUUGGUAAUCAGGUGGCGAGUGCAAGUGUACAAGGGAGCUUGACUGUGAGACCGACGGGUCGAGCAGGUGCGAAAGCAGGAACUAGUGAUCCGGCCAUGGCACGUGGGUGCGUGGUCGCUCAACGGAUAAAAGGUACCCCGGGGAUAACAGGCUGAUCUUGCCCAAGAGUCCAUAUCGACGGCAUGGUUUGGCACCUCGAUGUCGGCUCGUCGCAUCCUGGGGCUGGAGUUGGUCCCAAGGGUUGGGCUGUUCGCCCAUUAAAGCGGUACGCGAGCUGGGUUCAGAACGUCGUGAGACAGUUCGGUCCCUAUCCUCUGUGCGCGCAGGAAAUUUGAG